ACGCAUUGAAAUAACAUGUUUAUUUUCUAAUCACAAGUAACAACCAAUGUAUACCUUUCAAGCUACGUAGGUCCAGCCGGCAACAUAAUAAAUAAAAACAUCAUAUCAUCGAACAAGAAAAAAUAUAUUGUGGAAACAAACAAAACUUUGCAGGCCAAUACGAGGAUUAAUAACUCUUGACGAUCUCCAUCCAUCACCAGACAGGCAGAGACCACCCACCACACCAUUUUCAUACGCUAUGCAGUUGAUUGGCAUUAAUCAACAAAAUGCAAUCUGAGAACAACUAAUCAUGAAUUUGCAUUAAUGUCAUUGGAUCGCAAGGCAGUGAAGUGUUGCGAUGCAAGCAUGGAUCGAAAUGGUGGGAGAUCGAUCGUAAUCAUCGAAUCACCUCAGCGUGGUCAGCUUCCAGCUGCGGCCCCUGUCCAGCGGCUCGCUGCUGCCGGUAACGUCGUCCUCACGGUCCAUUGUGACGGUGGUGUCCUCGCUGGCGGCGUCCGCCACCGGCACGAUCUCCCUGUUCCGCCGCUCGCCGCCGAACUUGAGCAUCUCGACAACCUCGGCCAUGGUCGGCCUGCCCUCCGCGUUGCUCUGCGAGCACAGCAUGGCCGUCUCGACCACGGCGCNN
RNAcentral lists this long non-coding RNA (625 nucleotides) under Hordeum vulgare. RNAcentral's name for it is "long non-coding RNA (HVUL_LNC013598)". The record is from RNAcentral. Lineage: Eukaryota; Viridiplantae; Streptophyta; Magnoliopsida; Poales; Poaceae.